This 450-nucleotide ribosomal RNA is filed under the name uncultured bacterium. RNAcentral's name for it is "partial 16S ribosomal RNA". It matches the Rfam family "Bacterial small subunit ribosomal RNA", at positions 354 to 796 of the family's 1533-position model. The record is from RNAcentral.
GUGGGGAAUCUUCCGCAAUGGACGAAAGUCUGACGGAGCAACGCCGCGUGAGUGAUGAAGGUCUUCGGAUUGUAAAGCUCUGUUAAUCGGGACGAAAGAGCCUAGUGUGAAUAAUGCUAGGAAGUGACGGUACCGGAAUAGAAAGCCACGGCUAACUACGUGCCAGCAGCCGCGGUAAUACGUAGGUGGCAAGCGUUGUCCGGAAUUAUUGGGCGUAAAGCGCGCGCAGGCGGAUCUGCCAGUCUGUCUUAAAAGUUCGGGGCUUAAACCCGUGAUGGGAUGGAAACUACAGAUCUAGAGUAUCGGAGAGGAAAGUGGAAUUCCUAGUGUAGCGGUGAAAUGCGUAGAUAUUAGGAAGAACACCAGUGGCGAAGGUGACUUUCUGGACGAAAACUGACGCUGAGGCGCGAAAGCCAGGGGAGCGAACGGGAUUAGAAACCCCUGUAGUCC